CUACGGGUCGCUGCAGUGAGGAAUAUUGCGCAAUGGGGGAAACCCUGACGCAGCGACGCCGCGUGGAUGAUGAAGGCCUUAGGGUCGUAAAAUCCUGUCAGGUGGGAAGAAGUGGAUAUAGAUUCAUACUCUAUUUCUUUGACGGUACCACCAAAGGAAGCACCGGCUAACUCCGUGCCAGCAGCCGCGGUAAUACGGAGGGUGCAAACGUUGUUCGGAAUUACUGGGCGUAAAGCGCGCGUAGGCGGUUUGUUAAGUCAGAUGUGAAAGUCCAUGGCUCAAAUAUGGAAGUGCAUUUGAAACUGGCAGACUUGAGUACUGGAGGGGGUGAUGGAAUUCCCGGUGUAGAGGUGAAAUUCGUAGAUAUCGGGAGGAAUACCGGUGGCGAAGGCGAUCGCCUGGCCAGAUACUGACGCUGAGGUGCGAAAGCGUGGGGAGCAAACAGGAUUAGAUACCCGUGUAGUC
RNAcentral lists this ribosomal RNA (465 nucleotides) under uncultured bacterium. RNAcentral describes it as "partial 16S ribosomal RNA". It matches the Rfam family "Bacterial small subunit ribosomal RNA", at positions 339 to 795 of the family's 1533-position model. The record is from RNAcentral.